Non-coding RNA from Onychostruthus taczanowskii (white-rumped snowfinch), 70 nucleotides. NCBI's taxonomy places the organism in Eukaryota, Metazoa, Chordata, Aves, Passeriformes, Passeridae. The record is from the annotation of a RefSeq genome assembly.
GGUUAGCUCAGCUGGUCAGAGCAUGGUGCUAUUAAUGCCAAGGACAUGGGUUCGAUCCCCACAUGGGCCA